RNAcentral lists this ribosomal RNA (253 nucleotides) under uncultured bacterium. Its description in RNAcentral is "partial 16S ribosomal RNA". It matches the Rfam family "Bacterial small subunit ribosomal RNA", at positions 524 to 776 of the family's 1533-position model. The record is from RNAcentral.
UACAGGGGGGGCAAGCGUUGUUCGGAAUUACUGGGCGUAAAGGGCGCGUAGGCGGCCAACUAAGUCACACGUGAAAUCCCCAGGCUUAACCUGGGAACUGCGUGUGAUACUGGAUGGCUUGAAUUCGGGAGAGGGAUGCAGAAUUCCAGGUGUAGCGGUGAAAUGCGUAGAUAUCUGGAGGAAUACCGGUGGCGAAGGCGGCAUCCUGGACCGACAUUGACGCUGAGGCGCGAAAGCUAGGGGAGCAAACUGG